RNAcentral lists this long non-coding RNA (835 nucleotides) under Danio rerio (zebrafish). RNAcentral's name for it is "lncRNA (ENSDARG00000117598.1)". Lineage: Eukaryota; Metazoa; Chordata; Actinopteri; Cypriniformes; Danionidae. The record is from RNAcentral.
GAUGGAUGGAUAGAUAGAUAGAUAGAUAGAUAGAUAGAUAGAUAGAUAGAUAUGCAUGGAUAGAUAGAUAGAUAGAUAGAUAGAUAGACGGAUGGACGGACGGACAGAUAGAUAGAAAUGCAUGGGAUAGAUGAUAGAUAGAUAGAUAGAUAGAUAGAUAGAUAGAUAGAUAGAUAGAUAGAUAGAUAGAUAGAUAGAUAGAUAGAUAGAUAGAUAGAUAGAUAGAUAGAUAGAUAGAUAGAUAGAUAGAUAGAUAGAUAGAUAGAUAGAUAGAUAGAUAGAUAUGCAUGGAUAGAUGGAUGGAUGGAUGGAUGGAUGGACGGACGGACGGAUGGACGGACGGCUAGAUAGAUGUGUGUGAGUGUGUAGUAAUGAUCAGUGUGUUGUGUUGUGUUGUGUUGUGUUGUGUUGUGUGUGGUCAGAGUGGUGUGUGUUGUGUGCAGCUGUUGUGUGUCCUGCAGCAGGUCUCCUCCAGCAUCAGUGUGUGUGGUGUGUUUUCUCUGCUGAACCUGCGGGAGAAGCUGAUCUCUGAACAGGGGCUCCGAGACGGCGGCGUACAGACAUCACUGAACCGAGAGCUGCACACACUCUCUACGGCCUGCAGUCAGCUGACCAUAAACCCCAAACACCUGAGCAUUCUGGGAGAAAUACCUGCACACUUCAGGAUCCUGCUGCUGCAGCACUCUGAGGACAGUUCUGUGCUGUAUGGAGGGUUUUAUGAGAAGGUUAAAGCCACAGACACACAGAAGGGGAAGACUGUGACAGGUAACCAUAUGACACACAUUUACAUAUACCUGCAGCACUUCUUUAACUAUGAAAAUAGGCCAAAGUUAUG